GGGAGGCGAACCCGGCGAACUGAAACAUCUAAGUAGCCGGAGGAAAGGACAUCAACCGAGACUCCGCUAGUAGUGGCGAGCGAACGCGGACCAGGCCAGUCAUUCAGUCUACACAACCGGAACCGUCUGGAAAGGCGGGCCAGAGCGGGUGAUAGCCCCGUACGGGUAAACCGGACUGAAUGCUCGAGUAGGGCGGGGCACGUGAAACCCUGUCCGAACAUGGGGGGACCACCCUCCAAGCCUAAGUACUCCUCAGUGACCGAUAGUGCACCAGUACCGUGAGGGAAAGGUGAAAAGCACCCCGACGAGGGGAGUGAAACAGUUCCUGAAACCGGAUGCCUACAAGCAGUCGGAGCGGCCUUGCGCCGUGACGGCGUACCUUUUGUAUAAUGGGUCAGCGACUUACAGUAAGCAGCGAGCUUAAGGCGAUAGCCGGAGGCGCAGCGAAAGCGAGUCUGAACAGGGCGCUUGAGUUGCUUGCUGUAGACCCGAAACCCGGUGAUCUAGCCAUGGGCAGGUUGAAGGUGCGGUAACACGCACUGGAGGACCGAACUCACGCCUGUUGAAAAAGUCGGAGAUGACCUGUGGCUAGGGGUGAAAGGCCAAUCAAACCGGGAAAUAGCUGGUUCUCCGCGAAAGCUAUUUAGGUAGCGCGUCGGGCGAUUGCCCACGGGGGUAGAGCACUGGAUGGGCUAGGGGGCCUCGCGGCUUACCAAACCUAACCAAACUCCGAAUACCGUGGAGCACAGCCCGGCAGACAGACGGUGGGUGCUAAGGUCCAUCGUCGAGAGGGAAACAGCCCAGACCGCCAGCUAAGGUCCCCAAAUCACGGCUAAGUGGGAAAGGAUGUGGGAAGGCCAUGACAACCAGGAGGUUGGCUUAGAAGCAGCCAUCCUUUAAAGAAAGCGUAAUAGCUCACUGGUCUAGUUAAGCCGGCCUGCGCCGAAAAUGUAUCGGGGCUCAAGCCGUGUACCGAAGCUGCGGAUGUGAUCUCUGAUCACGUGGUAGCGGAGCGUUCCGUAAGCCUGCGAAGGGUGUCCGUGAGGCCGCCUGGAGGUAUCGGAAGUGAGAAUGCUGACAUGAGUAGCGACAAACAGUGUGAGAAACACUGUCGCCGAAAGUCCAAGGGUUCCUGCGCAAGGUUAAUCCACGCAGGGUGAGCCGGCCCCUAAGGCGAGGCCGAAAGGCGUAGUCGAUGGGAACCACGUUAAUAUUCGUGGGCCAGCGGGUGUGUGACGAAUGGGAAAGCGUGUCGGGCCUUAUCGGAUUGGCCCGGCUGGGGACCCGUUCCAGGAAACAGCCCCCGCAUCAGACCGUACCCCAAACCGACACAGGUGGACUGGUAGAGUAUACCCAGGCGCUUGAGAGAAUGGUGUUGAAGGAACUCGGCAAAUUGCCCUCGUAACUUCGGAAGAAGAGGGCCCCGUCGCGGCGCAAGCCGGGGCGGGGGGCACAGACCAGGGGGUGGCGACUGUUUACUAAAAACACAGGGCUCUGCGAAGCCGUACAAGGCGACGUAUAGGGUCUGACGCCUGCCCGGUGCCGGAAGGUUAAGAGGAGGGGUUCACGCUCCGAAUUGAAGCCCCGGUAAACGGCGGCCGUAACUAUAACGGUCCUAAGGUAGCGAAAUUCCUUGUCGGGUAAGUUCCGACCUGCACGAAUGGCGUAACGACUUCCCCGCUGUCUCCAACACCAACUCAGCGAAAUUGAACUCUCCGUGAAGAUGCGGAGUACCCGCGGUCAGACGGAAAGACCCCGUGCACCUUUACUACAGCUUUGCAGUGGUGCUAGGGAUCUCAUGUGUAGGAUAGGUGGGAGGCUAGGAAACCCGGGCGCCAGCUCGGGUGGAGCCACCCUUGAAAUACCACCCUUGAGGUCUCUGGCAUCUAACCGCGCUCCGUUGAUCCGGAGCCGGGACCCUGCAUGGCGGGUAGUUUGACUGGGGCGGUCGCCUCCCAAAGUGUAACGGAGGCGCGCGAUGGUGGGCUCAGAGCGGUCGGAAAUCGCUCGACGAGUGCAAUGGCAUAAGCCCGCCUGACUGCAAGACAGACAAGUCGAGCAGAGACGAAAGUCGGCCAUAGUGAUCCGGUGGUUCCA
RNAcentral lists this ribosomal RNA (2097 nucleotides) under Azospirillum brasilense. Its description in RNAcentral is "partial 23S ribosomal RNA". It matches the Rfam family "Bacterial large subunit ribosomal RNA", at positions 174 to 2431 of the family's 2925-position model. The record is from RNAcentral. Lineage: Bacteria; Pseudomonadati; Pseudomonadota; Alphaproteobacteria; Rhodospirillales; Azospirillaceae.